UACAGAGGGUGCGAGCGUUAAUCGGAAUUACUGGGCGUAAAGAGCGCGCAGGCGGUCGAUCAAGUCGAGUGUGAAAGCCCCUGGCUCAACUGGGGAGGGUCAUUCGAUACUGAUCGACUCGAAGGCAGGAGAGGGUAGUGGAAUUCCCGGUGUAGUGGUGAAAUGCGUAGAUAUCGGGAGGAACACCAGUGGCGAAGGCGACUACCUGGCCUGUUCUUGACGCUGAGGCGCGAAAGCUAGGGGAGCAAACGGG
RNAcentral lists this ribosomal RNA (253 nucleotides) under uncultured bacterium. RNAcentral describes it as "partial 16S ribosomal RNA". It matches the Rfam family "Bacterial small subunit ribosomal RNA", at positions 524 to 776 of the family's 1533-position model. The record is from RNAcentral.